Molecule: ribosomal RNA, 389 nt
Filed under: uncultured bacterium
Lineage: Bacteria
Description: partial 16S ribosomal RNA
Rfam family: Bacterial small subunit ribosomal RNA
Source: RNAcentral
GCUACGGGAGGCAGCAGUGAGGAAUAUUGGUCAAUGGACGAGAGUCUGAACCAGCCAAGUAGCGUGAAGGAUGACUGCCCUAUGGGUUGUAAACUUCUUUUAUAUGGGACUAAAAUGUUCCACGUGUGGGAUUUUGUAUGUACCAUAUGAAUAAGGAUCGGCUAACUCCGUGCCAGCAGCCGCGGUAAUACGGAGGGUCCGAGCGUUAUCCGGAUUUAUUGGGUUUAAAGGGAGCGUAGGUGGAUUGUUAAGUGAGUUGUGGAAGUUUGCGGCUCAACCGGAAAAUUGCAGUUGAAACUGGCAGUCUUGAGGACAGUGGAGGUGGGCGGAAUUCGUGGUGUAGCGGUGAAAUGCUUAGAUAUAACGAAGAACUCCGAUUGCGAAGGCAG